GCCGGGCGAGGUGGCGGGAGCCUGUAGUCCCAGCUACUUGGGAGGCUGAGGCAGGAGAAUGGCGUGAACCCGGGAGGCGGAGCUUGCAGUGAGCCGAGAUCGUGCCACUGCACUCCAGCCUGGGCGACAGAGCGAGACUCCAUCUCAAAAAAAAAAAAAAAAAAAAAAAAAAAAAUUGUCCUAGGCUGGAGUGCUGUGGCACGAUCUUGGCUCACUGCAAGCUCCACCUCCCGGGUUCAAACGAUUCUCCUACCUCAG
Molecule: signal recognition particle RNA, 258 nt
Filed under: Papio anubis (olive baboon)
Lineage: Eukaryota; Metazoa; Chordata; Mammalia; Primates; Cercopithecidae
Description: Metazoan signal recognition particle RNA (ENSPANG00000039644.1)
Rfam family: Metazoan signal recognition particle RNA
About the family: The signal recognition particle (SRP) is a universally conserved ribonucleoprotein. It is involved in the co-translational targeting of proteins to membranes.
Source: RNAcentral